AUGUACCUCGACUGCCUGCUGCUACCGACCGACACAACACAAAUGCGCAAGAUUGCCAAGACAAUGGAAAAGACAUCGUUACCACGAGCAAACCACCUAAAAGAGAGUGACCUAAGGAAAAUAGCUAGAGCAGACAUGAAAACGGACGGAAAAGCACGACCAGAUGACUAUCAAUUUGGCAAGAUACAGACAUGGAAAGGAACAGCGGAGAGGAUAUUCUAUGCCAACACAGCAACACCUUUGUAUUCAAUACAGAUGAUACUAGCACAACAACAGGAGCACCCGCAAACCACCAAGCUACUACCACCUCCAACCAAGCGACAUGACGAAGCACAUGUCAGCACAAGUGGAAGCAAGGAACCAUUCAUAGGCACCAGCACAGGAUCAUAUGAAAUAUUCGGAAGGAUAGAAGAAAUGUUGAAACAAGUAUUCGACGAAACAAAACAGAUACCCGGAAUAAUGACGAGGGCUGGACACCAAUGCAGCGAACAAGAGAAGGAAUUAGAUGAAAUAAUGAGGAACGCAGUGGUGCAACAAACAACGGCCGUGAUUGAUUCUCUCGAACAACUUAGAGAAUUCCAGGACAUUGUUUGUAGAGUGAGCUUUCAAGAAGAGACGACGCAGAAGCUGCAGGAUCGAACUGACGCCGGAGACACAGCUCCACUUGUAGAUGGUAGCCACACAAAAGAAGUCGUAGCCGCCCCAGAACCAGGAGGGAGGAGAAAAAUAAAGAAGGAAGAACAGGACCAACAAAACAAACAUGAAGGGAAGAAAAGAAUAACAAAAUCAAGAACACAGAACUCGAGAAUUAACCAGAGGGAGACAGAAGAACAUAACUAG
Molecule: ribosomal RNA, 840 nt
Filed under: Triticum aestivum (bread wheat)
Lineage: Eukaryota; Viridiplantae; Streptophyta; Magnoliopsida; Poales; Poaceae
Description: partial small subunit ribosomal RNA
Source: RNAcentral